This 517-nucleotide ribosomal RNA is filed under the name uncultured bacterium. RNAcentral describes it as "partial 16S ribosomal RNA". It matches the Rfam family "Bacterial small subunit ribosomal RNA", at positions 29 to 523 of the family's 1533-position model. The record is from RNAcentral.
AACGAACGCUGGCGGCGUGGAUAAGACAUGCAAGUCGAACGGGAUUUUUUCCUGUAGCAAUACAGGAAAAAGUCUAGUGGCGAACGGGUGCGUAACACGUGAGCAACCUGCCGUGAAGUGGGGGAUAGCUCGCCGAAAGGCGAAUUAACACCGCAUGUGGCCAAGGAAGACAUCUUCCUGACGCCAAAGCCGGGGCAACCUGGCGCUUCUCGAGGGGCUCGCGGCCUAUCAGCUUGUUGGUGAGGUAACGGCUCACCAAGGCUAUGACGGGUAGCUGGUCUGAGAGGAGGACCAGCCACACUGGAACUGAGACACGGGCCAGACACCUACGGGUGGCAGCAGUCGAGAAUUUUUCACAAUGGGGGAAACCCUGAUGGAGCGACGCCGCGUGGAGGAUGAAGGUUUUCGGAUUGUAAACUCCUGUCAUUAGAGAACAAGGCGCACGGUUUAACUGGCCGUGCGUUGAUAGUAUCUGAAGAGGAAGAGACGGCUAACUCUGUGCCAGCCGCCGCAGUAA